AUUGAACGCUGGCGGCAGGCCUAACACAUGCAAGUCGAACGGUAGCACAGAGAGCUUGCUCUCGGGUGACGAGUGGCGGACGGGUGAGUAAUGUCUGGGAAACUGCACGAUGGAGGGGGAUAACUACUGGAAACGGUAGCUAAUACCGCAUAACGUCGCAAGACCAAAGUGGGGGACCUUCGGGCCUCACUCCAUCGGAUGUGCCCAGAUGGGAUUAGCUAGUAGGUGGGGUAAUGGCUCACCUAGGCGACGAUCCCUAGCUGGUCUGAGAGGAUGACCAGCCACACUGGAACUGAGACACGGUCCAGACUCCUACGGGAGGCAGCAGUGGGGAAUAUUGCACAAUGGGCGCAAGCCUGAUGCAGCCAUGCCGCGUGUAUGAAGAAGGCCUUCGGGUUGUAAAGUACUUUCAGCGGGGAGGAAGGCGGUGAAGUUAAUAACUUCACCGAUUGACGUUACCCGCAGAAGAAGCACCGGCUAACUCCGUGCCAGCCGCCGCCGUAA
This 504-nucleotide ribosomal RNA is filed under the name uncultured bacterium. Its description in RNAcentral is "partial 16S ribosomal RNA". It matches the Rfam family "Bacterial small subunit ribosomal RNA", at positions 30 to 523 of the family's 1533-position model. The record is from RNAcentral.